This 2911-nucleotide long non-coding RNA is filed under the name Oryza sativa (Asian cultivated rice). RNAcentral's name for it is "long non-coding RNA (OSAT_LNC001420)". The record is from RNAcentral. Lineage: Eukaryota; Viridiplantae; Streptophyta; Magnoliopsida; Poales; Poaceae.
UCUUAUUGUAACCGGUUUGUCGGGAAAUAUACGUACCCAGAUUUUUCCACCACGACGUGCAUAUCGUGUCAUUGCUCUUCGUCCUGCUUCUAUCUGCCUCGCCGUAAUCCAAGUGGGUUCAAGUGCUUGAAGAGCAUAUCUACCAAAACAAAUACAAUUGCCUCGGUAGGAUUUUCCCUUCAUUCUUCCUCUAUGUUGUUUACGAAAUCUGGUUCUUUUGGGGUUAUAGUCGAUGGUUCUCUCUUAGUUCCAUCUCUACUGCAAAACUGGACAUGAGAGUUUCUUCUCAUCCAGCUCCUCGCGAAUCAAAUGAGAAAGUGUGCAAAUUUCUCUAAUUCCACAAUAUUCUAAAAUAUUACGGAUAGAUACACAUUAAUAGGAAAGGUUAGGGUUUUUAAUAUUGAAUUUAUUAAAAUACUAAAAUAUAUAGUCAAGAAAGAGGAUCUAGAAUAUAUCUAGAUGUGUAUGUUUAUUUAUCUAUAUUCUAUAUUUAAUGUAAUUCUUUUUUUUAAUCUCCUUUUUUUAUUUUACUCUUAUUGAAUCGCGGUAAAGUAUUCUAAUUCAAUAAAAAUUUCGCGGGCGAAUAUUUACUCUUUCCUGUCUUAUUUGUUAAUUCAUAACCUUAUCAAAUAAGACAAUUUUUUUGGUUUGUUCCGCCAUCCCACCCAAUGAAGUAUUGGGAUUCUUUUCAAGAAAAUCCUAUCCAGUCAUAGGUUCUGUCGUUCCCACUGCUUCUCCUUUAAUGGUUAGGUUUGAAUCUCGCAAUGGAGCUUCCAAAAAAUUUCUUUCCGAGUCAAUUUCUCAGUUUUAUUAACUCGGGACUCUCUUUGUUAUUCCUUGAAAUUUUUAUUUCUUGUUUCAAUCAAAUUACGAUUUCGAAUUCUCUGUUAUUUUUAUUAUAUUGAUGCUUUAUCACAUUGCUUUUUAUGAUGUAAUUCAUAGACCAUACAUAUUGGAAUCCUAUAUCUUUCUUAUUUCUCUUCCUUCUUUCUAUCAUCCUUCCUUUUAUCUACAUCCCCUUUAGUUUUGCUUCACAACUUAGAAUCCUAUUUUUUUUAAAGAAAAAAUUGCAGUUGCUACACGUAUAUGAUAGAUUUACUCAUUUAUGAUAGAUGUAUUUAUUCAUAUAGUGACUGUUUCUUAGUUAGGAUCUCGACAAUACGAAGCAAUAGGUUGGUUAUUAGUUCAUUUUCUAUAAUUACAUAGUAGGGUUCAUUCUAUUUUUUUUAAUCCCCUUUUUGAACCCUAAAAAAAAACUAACGAGUCACACACUAAGCAUAGCAAUUUUAUUAAAAGAUUUCUCAAUUUUCAUUAAAUCUUAUAGAAAGAGGUAGAAUUUCUUCUUUUUUUCAGGGAUUUUAGGGAAAAUAAGGCUCUUGUCAUUUUUUAUUCUAUUACUGAACAGAAUGGGAAGACAGGGUUGGUUAUUCUUCGUCUACGAAUAUCCAAAUUUUAACUCCUAAUACUCCAUAGAUAGUUCGAAUUGGAUAGCAGCAAUAAUCAAUUUUAGCGCGAAUUGUUUGGAGGGGAAGUCUACCUUUUUUGAUGCAUUCGGCACGCGCAAUUUCUUUUCCCGCGAGACAGCCUGCAAUUUUUACUUUUACUCCCUUUAUAUCUGUUUUUUUAGUUAAUUCAAUGGCUUUUUUCAUUGCCUUUCGGAAUGAAACUCUAUUUUUUAAUUGGAAAGCUAUAUAUUCUGCAAGAAUGUUAGGUUGUCUAUAAGGUUCUUUCACUUUUUCGAUCCCAAUAUUAAGUCUCUGGUUUACAGAAUUAACUUCUUUUUGUAGAUCUUUCUCUAAUUCUUCGAUUGCUCCUUUUUUCUUUAAUAAAUUGGGGAAUCCAAUAUGGAUUAUGACGUGGAUUGUAUCGAUUUCUUUUUGAAUUUCUAUAUGUGUAAUUACUUCGGAACUUGAGCCCGAGUCCAUUUUUUUAUUAUGUGUAAUUACUUCGAAACUUGAGUCUGCUUCUAUUUUUCUAUUCGAGCCCUUUUUCCUAUUCUUUUGUAUAUAGUUCUUGAUACAAUUCCGUAUUUUUUUUAUCUUCCUGUAGACCUUCAGAAUAAUUUUUUGGUUGUGCGAACCAAAAGGAAUGGUGAUUUUGGGUUGUACCAAGUCUGAAACCAAGUGGAUUUAUUUUUUGUCCCAUAUUUUUCUAUUCUAUUUUUUUUACCGGGAAUCAAAUCUUAGAUGGAUCUAAAGAUUAUUUCGAUUUCUUUACUAUAUUUAGUACAAUUGUUAUAUGACACAUGGUUUUUUUUAUGGGAGAACUACGUCCUCGAGCCCGAGGUCUGAAUUUAUUCAUAAUAGUACUCCUACUGACUUCGGCUUUAGUGAUGAAUAAAUUUGCUUUGUCGAAAUCCCUAUAAUGAGUAGCAUUUGCUGCUGCCGAAUAAACCAACUUUAAGAUAGGAUAAGAUGCUCGAUAAGGCAUGAGGUUCAAUAUCAUAACAGUUUCUUCGUAGUAACGCCAACGAAUCUCAUCCAGAACUCUUUGUACUUUGAAAACGGACAUGUGGAUGCGUUUUUGUGCUUUGAAAACCCGUUCGAACUUAAGUAGACGAUCGGUUGGUACUUUUCUUGCGAGUUUCCUUAGCCCACUCUUCUUCUUCUUUAUCCUAGGGGUAUACUUUACCAGUUUGAAACUUGUCAUAAAUAAGGUUAUUCCCCGCUUACCUAUUUCUUUUUUUUUAUUUUGAAUCUUUCUAUUCUGAAUUCAGUUAACGACGAGAUUUAGUAUCCUUUCUUACACUUUCAUAACUCGUGAAAUGCCGAGUUGGUACGAAUUCCCCCAAUUUGCGACCUACCAUAGGAUUUGUUAUGUAAAUAGGUAUAUGUUACUUUCCAUUAUGAAUCGCGAUUGUAUGGCCAACCAUUGCGGGUAGAAUGCUGAGAAAGUUGGGCUGAUCGUAGCC